RNAcentral lists this ribosomal RNA (429 nucleotides) under bacterium. RNAcentral describes it as "partial 16S ribosomal RNA". It matches the Rfam family "Bacterial small subunit ribosomal RNA", at positions 355 to 776 of the family's 1533-position model. The record is from RNAcentral.
UAGGGAAUCUUCGGCAAUGGGGGCAACCCUGACCGAGCAACGCCGCGUGAGUGAAGAAGGUUUUCGGAUCGUAAAGCUCUGUUGUAAGAGAAGAACGUGUGUGAGAGUGGAAAGUUCACACAGUGACGGUAACUUACCAGAAAGGGACGGCUAACUACGUGCCAGCAGCCGCGGUAAUACGUAGGUCCCGAGCGUUGUCCGGAUUUAUUGGGCGUAAAGCGAGCGCAGGCGGUUUAAUAAGUCUGAAGUUAAAGGCAGUGGCUUAACCAUUGUUCGCUUUGGAAACUGUUAAACUUGAGUGCAGAAGGGGAGAGUGAAAUUCCAUGUGUAGCGGUGAAAUGCGUAGAUAUAUGGAGGAGCACCGGUGGCGAAAGCGGCUCUCUGGUCUGUAACUGACGCUGAGGCUCGAAAGCGUGGGGAGCAAACAGG